GUGAGCCAUCACCAAAAUCCAAAUUUCAGAAGAAAAAAAAGCUCUCUGUCUCUGCAUGCGCGCCAAUCCACCGUGCCCAUCAAUGGUUUCGAGGUUCGGCGACGCCGCGAGGGAUGUGUCCGAACCGGGCAGCAGCAGCAUCUCCGUAUCUGGAAUCCCAUCUCUUCCUAGCUAAAACGUGGGAAAGAUAGUGCUAGAAAGUGACGGAAAAUGAGACGGCUGAUAUUCUUCCGAGGGAUUGUGUCCUGGGUCGACUUUCUCUUGUCAGCUUUUGAUGGCUUUCUGAUGUUUUCUCAGUAUUACUGGCUGUAUUCGUAACUUUUUCUUGCCAUGGUUUCCCCUGCUUUUCAGAGGCUCCUAAUGGUUCACAGAAGCUCUUAUCACUGUUGGCCUUGAAAAGUGGCUAUUUUGUAUAUUUCUUAGAGUUUUUGCAGAUAUUAAGGUAGUGUUGUUGCUGAAGUAUCAUACUGUUUAUAGAAGCUCUCAAGAUCUUAUACUGUUUAUAGAAGCUCUCAAGAUCUUUCUCGGUGAAGGUUGUUCUACCUGUCUGAGAGAUGAUGCAGUCUUUGGCUGAACUGCAGUAAACCAAGCGUAAAGACAUACUUCUGUUAGGUGGAUUGAACUUUGUUGGUCUCAUUUCUGCAUUCUAUUGGUUAGUUCAGCUCGGCUAACCUCCUUUGGCAGUAGAUAAUUCCUGACAGAAACUUCGGCUUCCUUUUGGGGCACAUCUCCUGUGUGCAUGUCUCUAUAUAUAUUAUAUCAACUAGUUCAGCUCUCUUGAGCAGAUCUCCUUUGGCAAAAGUUACUGAAGUUCCCUUUCGUUGGCUGACUUCCUAUCGUAGUGGAUUAGAAGAGUGCUUCUUUUGUUGACUUGUCAUCAAUUUAUCUCAAACUCCAGUGUUUCUUUAGGGCCGAUCUCCUUUGGCAUUCUCCUCGCUAUUUCGGCAAGCUUCACCUCAACCUCUGAGAAAGAUCUCAUCUGCCAGUUGCAAUCCAUUGAUAAUUCUGCAGUUGGGAAAAUCUCCCUUUUGAAGUUCUUCUGGGUAAUUGGUUGUAGUCAAAAGUUCACCCCUCCGAUCGGGCAAAUCUUCUUUGGUACUCGGAGUCCUUUGUUGACUCAUGCUACCCUUGUAGGGCAAAUCUCCUUUGGCAUUUGGAGUCCUCGUAGCGUCCUGUUAUCCCUCCCUCUAUAGGGCAAAUCUCCUUUGGCAUUAGAUCUCCAGUUUUAGUGGUCAAAGUACCCUACUGGAGAUAUCCCUAUCAAAUAUCAACUGGAAAAGUGUACGGCAAAUCUGUUUAUCACAGAGGAUGUUGUGGCAAUAAUCAUCAUUUCAUCCUUUGGAGACUACACACAUCCCUGUCGGAGUUCAAGAUAAGCUCAGAUUGUCACGGUGUUAAGAUUCAUUCUGCCCCAGAAGUUCAGUGAAGAUUAACCAAGUUUCUCAGACGGCUUGUAAUUUAAUCUGUUCCCAUUUUGCAGUUGAGGCAUCUGAACGAUGAAUGCAAUCCUCAGUGACUCGGAUUGGGAGAGUUUUAGUGAGAGUGGUAGUAGUAUGGAUCAAUAUGAAAAUGAAUCUUUCUAUGGCGGGCAUGCGAGCAGCAUCUUGUCCAGCCUGGAGGCUUCCAUUGGGAAAAUUGAUGAUUUUCUCUCGUUUGAGAGGGGAUUCAUAUAUGGAGACAUGGUAUGCUCCGUAAGAGAUCCAUCUGGGCAGAUGGGCAGAGUAGUUGGGAUUAAUAUGUUCGUUGAUUUGGAGAGUGUUAAGGGACACAUAAUAAAAGAUGUCAACUCCAAUAACCUAUCAAAGAUCCGCUCCAUUUCGGUGGGGGAUUAUGUUGUUUGUGGUCCAUGGCUUGGAAGGGUGCAUAGAGUGGUUGACCAUGUUAUGGUUGUAUUUGAUGAUGGAACAGAGUAUGAGGUCACUGCUGUGGAUCAAGAGAAGCUCUUGCCCAUUUCUCCAAACCUACUUGAAGAUCCACAGUACCCAUAUUAUCCAGGACAGAAAGUGCAGGUCAGACUCUCAACCGCUUCCAAAUCAACUAGAUGGUUAUGCAGUAACUGGAGGGAAAAUCAAGUCGAGGGAACCGUUUGUUCUGUGGAAGGAGGUUUGGUGUAUGUUGAUUGGCUUGCCUCUGUUCUCAUGGGUUGUGAUUUGAAAUUGCCUGCUCCUCCACGUGUGCUGGAUCCGAAAAAGUUGAAUGUGUUGUCAUGUUUCUCUCAUGUAAACUGGCAGCUUGGUGACUGGUGUAUGCUUCAAGUUGCUGACGAUAAAGCUGUCAUGGAGCAGGAUUUUCAUAAUGCAUCUACUUGUGAGAUGAAUAACAAGCCCAAGAUAUCAGGAAGAGGAUUUAGGAGAAGAACCACAGAUUCAAAAUUCGAAGAAAUCUUUGUCAUCAUAAAGACAAGGACCAAGGUUGACGUGGCGUGGCAAGAUGGAAGCCACUCUUUGGGAUUAGAUUCACAGACACUAGUUCCAGUCAGCGUUGUAAAUGAUCAUGAAUUUUGGCCUGAACAGUUUGUCCUGGAAAAGGGCACUGGCGAUGAUCCACACAUGUCUAGCAGCCAAAAAUGGGGUGUCGUGAAGGGUGUGGAUGCAAACGAGCAUACAGUAAAGGUGCAAUGGAAAACUAUCCCUGCACCUAAAGAAAAUUACUCUGAGGGAAAACAGAUGGAGGAAAUUGUGAGCGCUUAUGAACUAGUUGAGCACCCAGAUUACUCCUACUCUUUUGGAGAUUAUGUGUUCAGGUUGGUCCAGAAUCAGUUUGAUGAACAAGCGAAUAAAAACUAUCUGCUCACAAAGAUUGACAUGAGCGAGGAAGCUGCUUCUGAAAAAAAGGACUGCGGUGGGGAUCAAGAGGAUUACACUGAUAAAUGUUACCUAUCUCACAUUGGAAAUGUUAUGGGCUUCAAGGAUGGAGCUGUGGAAGUGAGAUGGGCUACUGGUAUUACAGGCAAGGUGGCCCCUAAUGAAAUUUUCCGGUUUGACAAACAUGAAGGUUCAGCUGCAAUUCCUACAGAAGAUGACAUCGAAGACUUGUACCGAGAGAUGAUUCAAAAUGCAAAGCAACCUUCUAACCAGAAGGGAAAGGAUUCAUUGAAUUUGGAUGAUGGUGGCAAAGAUUACACAAGGGAGUCUAGUUCCUCUUUCCUUCCUCAAGCUGCCAUUGGAGUUUUCAAAAGCAUAGCUGCGAGUCUUUUUGGAUCCCAUGAGUCUGCACCACUUUCAGGUCCUUCGUCAUCAGCCUGUAUUUCUGAAAUUGGAAAUCAAUCUGAGAUUUCCCAUGAGAAAGGAAUAGCGGAAACUUGUGACCUCUUUGCUGAGCAACAGUCAACGACUGAGCUGGAGAGGUUUGAGGAGAAGAGCUUUCCACAUUCAAAAGCUAAUGAGAGUGCUGAUCAGUUUAGGCAGUUUGACAUAGUUGCUGAUUGCACCGACCACCAUUUUCAUGGUGCUAACAAGGAGUUGGCAUUAUCUCAGGUGAAAAGAGGCUGGAUGAAAAAGGUUCAACAAGAGUGGAGCAUCUUCGAGAAAGAUCUGCCUGAACAAAUCUAUGUCCGCGCCUUCGAGGAAAGGAUGGAUCUACUGCGAUCAGCCAUUGUUGGUGCACCUGGAACUCCAUAUCAUGAUGGGCUUUUCUUCUUUGAUAUUUAUCUUCCACCCGAGUAUCCUCAUGAACCGCCUAUGGUACACUAUAGUUCUGGUGGGCUACGUGUCAACCCUAACUUGUACGAGUCCGGAAAGGUCUGUCUCAGUCUCCUUAAUACAUGGAUGGGCACAGGCACUGAAGUUUGGAAUCCAGGGAGCUCCACCAUUCUUCAAGUUCUUCUCUCCCUUCAAGCCCUCGUGCUUAACGACAAGCCAUAUUUCAAUGAAGCUGGGUAUGAUCAACAGAUGGGAAGAACCCAAGGAGAGAAAAACUCCGUAAGCUACAACGAAAAUGCAUUCCUGAUGACAUGCAAGUCCAUGCUGUAUACACUCCAAAAGCCACCUAAGCAUUUUGAGGAGCUUGUUAUCGAACACUUCACUCGGCGCUCCCAAAAUAUUCUAACGGCGUGUAAGGAGUAUAUGGACGGGGCUCCAGUAGGGUGUGCUAUUGAUUUCCAGAAAACUGAAGAUAAACACAGUAAGGGAAGCUCUACCGGGUUCAAAAUCAUGCUCUCUAAGCUAUUUCCAAAAUUGGUUGAGGCACUUUCCAGCAAGGGAAUUGACUGCAACCGGUUCAUGGGGCCGGAGAAAUGCACAUGGUGCAAAAUUGUAAUUUAAAGGUACCCAGCGAAGGUAUUCCUGUCAUGUGUGUAAAUAAGUCCAUAUGCUUUCAAUGUGUGCUUGCUGUAAGAUUGCUCAUGUAAAUUAGUCUGGUUGUUUACCCAAAAAGAAAAUUGGGGUGGGGAGAGAGAGAGAGAGAGAGAGAGAGAGAGAGAGAGAGAGAGAGAAUCCAUGGUGGUUUGCAUGUGUAUAAAAAAUGGGUUUCUGAUGAAUCAGUAAUAUAGUAUGCCGUGCUUACAGAAUUUGUGAAAUAAAAAGCAGUUGCCAAGAAAAAGAAG
This is an RNA transcript of Pyrus x bretschneideri (Chinese white pear), 4543 nucleotides long. It is a transcript of the gene named probable ubiquitin-conjugating enzyme E2 24, with no coding region annotated. NCBI's taxonomy places the organism in Eukaryota, Viridiplantae, Streptophyta, Magnoliopsida, Rosales, Rosaceae. The transcript is spliced from 11 exons. The record is from RefSeq and is a predicted model, not a curated record.